Molecule: ribosomal RNA, 61 nt
Filed under: Lagopus muta japonica
Lineage: Eukaryota; Metazoa; Chordata; Aves; Galliformes; Phasianidae
Description: partial small subunit ribosomal RNA
Source: RNAcentral
AAAAGACUUAGUCCUAACCUUACUAUUACUAUUGAUUUUGCUAGACAUAUACAUGCAAGUA